UAUUGACAAUGGCAAACCUGCUGAAAAGCAGCGACGCAAAGCUAAAGGGCCUGUAACAUGGCAGCCAGCUACCAAA
Regulatory RNA element from Syntrophobotulus glycolicus DSM 8271, 76 nucleotides. It matches the Rfam family "c-di-GMP-I riboswitch aptamer". Rfam says of the family: GEMM was predicted in a large-scale screen for bacterial structured RNA regulatory elements. Genes associated with GEMM are involved in a diverse array of functions, including chemotaxis regulation, signal transduction, secretion and chitin. Lineage: Bacteria; Bacillati; Bacillota; Clostridia; Eubacteriales; Desulfitobacteriaceae. The record is from Rfam.